This 2280-nucleotide ribosomal RNA is filed under the name human gut metagenome. Its description in RNAcentral is "bacterial LSU rRNA". It matches the Rfam family "Bacterial large subunit ribosomal RNA", at positions 1 to 2317 of the family's 2925-position model. The record is from RNAcentral.
UUAAAGUAGUAAGGGCGCAGGGUGGAUGCCUUGGCACUAAGAGCCGAUGAAAGACGUGAUAAGCUGCGAAAAGCUUCGGGGAGGAGCACAUAUCCAAUGAUCCGGAGAUAUCUGAAUGGGGAAACCCGGCAGAGGAAACCUCUGUCAGCGUGCAGUGAAUACAUAGCUGUACGUGGGGAACCCGGGGAACUGAAACAUCUAAGUACCCGGAGGAAGAGAAAGAAAAUUUAUCGAUUUCCAAAGUAGCGGCGAGCGAAAUGGAAAGAGCCCAAACCGUGAUGCGUGCAUCGCGGGGUUCGGACUGCGUUGUGGCAGACGUAAGAUAGGAGAACGGACUGGGAAGUCCGGCCGGAGAGAGUGAAAGCCUCGUAUCCGAAAUCCCAAGUCGCCUAGCAGGAUCCAGAGUAGGACGAGACACGAGAAACCUUGUCUGAACGAGCGGGGACCACCCCGUAAGGCUAAAUACUUCUUAGUGACCGAUAGCGCAUAGUACUGUGAAGGAAAGGUGAAAAGUACCCCGGGAGGGGAGUGAAAGAGAACCUGAAACCCUGUGUCUACAAGCUGUGGGACCUCUUUAUAUGAGGGACUGCGUACUUUUUGUAGAACGGUCCGGCGAGUUGUGCGUACUGGCGAGGUUAAGGACUUAAGGUCUGGAGCCGAAGUGAAAGCAAGCGUUAAUAGCGCGUCAAGUCAGUGAGUGCAGACCCGAAACCGGGUGACCUAUCCAUGUCCAGGUUGAAGCUUCCGUAAGAGGAAGUGGAGGACCGAACCCACAUCCGUUGAAAAGGGUGGGGAUGAGGUGUGGAUAGCGGAGAAAUUCCAAUCGAACCCGGAGAUAGCUGGUUCUCCUCGAAAUAGCUUUAGGGCUAGCCUCAUGAGAGUCUUAUGGAGGUAGAGCACUGAAUUGCCUAGGGGGCGUCAAAGCUUACCAAAGCAUAUCAAACUCCGAAUGCCAUCAAGAUGAUUCAUGGGAGUCAGACCAUACGAGAUAAGUUGGAUGGUCAAAAGGGAAAGAGCCCAGACCUACAGCUAAGGUCCCAAAGUACGUGUUAAGUGGAAAAGGAUGUGGGGAUUCUAAGACAACUAGGACGUUGGCUUAGAAGCAGCCAUUCAUUGAAAGAGUGCGUAAUAGCUCACUAGUCGAGAGUCCCUGCGCCGAAAAUGUCCGGGGCUGAAACACGACACCGAAGCUUAGGAAUGUGUAAACAUUGGUAGAGGAGCAUUGCUAGCGGGAUGAAGCCAUACCGUAAGGAGUGGUGGACUGCUAGGAAGAGAGAAUGCCGGAAUGAGUAGCGAGAUGAAGGUGAGAAUCCUUCAGGCCGAAUAUCUAAGGUUUCCAGAGUAAAGCUGAUCUGCUCUGGGUAAGUCGGGGCCUAAGGCGAGGUCGAAAGACGUAGUCGAUGGAUAACAGGUUGAAAUUCCUGUACCGCAUAUAAACAGAACUGUGGGGACACAGACAGGGAAUGGAAUCCGGGAGUGGAGAUCCCGGUGCAAGCGAGGUAGGAGUGCUGUUGGCAAAUCCGCAGCACGAUCUGAAGACGUGACGCGUACCGAACAUAAGUAGGGAAGUCCAGGCCCCUGGCUGUCAAGAAAAGCCGCUAUCGUUUUAUAUGUGCCCGUACCGCAAACCGACACAGGUGGAUGAGGAGAGAAUCCUAAGGCCGACGGGAGAAGUAUUGUUAAGGAACUCGGCAAAAUGACUCCGUAACUUCGGGAGAAGGAGUGCCAUGUAAAAGUGGCCGCAGAGAAUUGGCCCAAGCAACUGUUUAGCAAAAACACAGGUCUAUGCAAAACCGAAAGGUGAGGUAUAUGGGCUGACGCCUGCCCGGUGCUGGAAGGUUAAGGGGAGAGGUUAGCGCAAGCGAAGCUUUGAACUUAAGCCCCAGUAAACGGCGGCCGUAACUAUAACGGUCCUAAGGUAGCGAAAUUCCUUGUCGGGUAAGUUCCGACCCGCACGAAAGGCGUAAUGAUUUGGGCACUGUCUCAACAAUGCACCCGGUGAAAUUGAAAUACCAGUGAAGAUGCUGGUUACCUGCGCCAGGACGGAAAGACCCCAUGGAGCUUUACUCCAGUUUGAUACUGGGAUUCGGCAUGGUAUGUACAGGAUAGGUGGGAGACUGAGAAGGUAUGACGUCAGUUGUACCGGAGUCGCUGUUGGGAUACCACCCUUACCAUGUUGGAUUUCUAACCUGUGGCCGUAAGCCGGUCAGGGGACAAUGUCAGGCGGGGAGUUUGACUGGGGCGGUCGCCUCCGAAAGGGUAUCGGAGGCGCUCAAAGGU